Molecule: long non-coding RNA, 793 nt
Organism: Juglans regia (Persian walnut)
Lineage: Eukaryota; Viridiplantae; Streptophyta; Magnoliopsida; Fagales; Juglandaceae
Exons: 2
Source: RefSeq, a predicted model, not a curated record
UUUGUUCUUCACUCCCAAAUAACAAACCCUAACUCCAUUCUCCACUUCGCAGCAUUUUCCCCUACCCCGAGCUUGCCUUCUUCGAAUCUUCCAUCCCAACUCAAAAAAAAUUUGAAUCAGUCAGAGAGCUUACUUUCUCUCCCAAUAACAAAUCUGAACUCCAAAUCGUAAAAAUCUUCCCCUGCCCUGUUCUUGGCUUUUCCGAAUCAUCCAUCCAACUCCACAUCGUAGAAGGCUUCCUAUCAUUCUCUCUCCCACAUCAUCUCCUCCACCUCGCCUGAAACAAUGUCUCGACGGAUGAAUAUUUGGUCACAACCCACAGCCUCAGAUCUCUUGACUAGUGUUGGAUCACCAUGGAAAUUCCUCCUCUUCAAGAAAGCAGGCAUUAUUUCUCUUUGUAUUUUCUUGUCCCUGGUGAAUAUACAGUGGUAGCUGCUGCAUUGAUAGAUGAUGCUAAUGACAUCCUCAGGGCUCGAGCACAGACUGAUUCCCCUGAUGAGCCAGUUUUCUGUUGGGGACCUCCGUAUAAUGUCCUUGUCAUUGGGACUGCAUGAAUCGUGCAUUGGCUUUCUUCCUCAACUCUUCAACCCCGCCUUCCACUUGAAAAUGAAGUCUUUCUGUCUCUGUGUUUCUCACAAAUGUAUAACUUUUAAGUCUAUGGAUUGGUUUGUAAAUACAUGUCUGAAACAUUUUCCUUUUUUCUUUCUUUUUUGUUCGUUAGGAGUUUCCUUUAAUACUUAAUCGUGUAUAAGUCACCACUUUUUACACGCAAAAUAAAUUGAUUGUUAGAUGA